This 124-nucleotide ribosomal RNA is filed under the name Pteropus alecto (black flying fox). Lineage: Eukaryota; Metazoa; Chordata; Mammalia; Chiroptera; Pteropodidae. The record is from RNAcentral.
ACUUAUUAGCCAUAUCGAUGUAAAAAAUGUCUAAACCCAAAGACUGAUCUCGGAAGCUAAGCAGGAUCGGGCCUGGCUAGUACUUGGAUGGGAGACCACCUAGGAAGACCAGGUACCGUAGGUG